CCAAGGAGUCUAGCGUGUGCGCGAGUCAUUGGGUGACAAAACCUAAAGGCGCAAUGAAAGUGUCUCAUUUUAGGGAGGAUGGGCGUCCCGGCCCCCAGAGCCGGUGCCCCGCACUCCCGGGGCGUCACGACCUCGUUUCGAGCCGAGACGCACCGAGAGCGCACACGCUGUUACCCGAAAGAUGGUGAACUAUGCUUGGCCAGGACGAAGCCAGGGGAAACCCUGGUGGAGGUCCGAAGCGAUUCUGACGUGCAAAUCGAUCGUCUGAGCUGAGUAUAGGGGCGAAAGACUAAUCGAACCAUCUAGUAGCUGGUUCCCUCUGAAGUUUCCCUCAGGAUAGCUGGCUCUCAAGAAGAGACGAGUCUCAUCCGGUAGAGCGAAUGAUUAGAGGUGAUGGGGUCGAAACGACUUCAACCUAUUCUCAAACUCCCAAUAGAUGAGAGCCCCGGCUUGCUUGAAAGUGAAGCCGCGGGACUACGGAUCGGAGAUGCCAAGUGGGCCAAUUUU
Molecule: ribosomal RNA, 507 nt
Filed under: Cymus sp. WCW-2003d
Lineage: Eukaryota; Metazoa; Arthropoda; Insecta; Hemiptera; Cymidae
Description: eukaryotic LSU rRNA
Rfam family: Eukaryotic large subunit ribosomal RNA
Source: RNAcentral